This 1503-nucleotide long non-coding RNA is filed under the name Homo sapiens (human). RNAcentral's name for it is "HSALNT0316921". Lineage: Eukaryota; Metazoa; Chordata; Mammalia; Primates; Hominidae. The record is from RNAcentral.
UCAGCUCCAUCCAUGUUCCUGCGAAAGACACGAUCUCAUUUUUUUUAAAUGUUUUGCCCAUUUUUAAAUUGGGUUGCUCAUUUUCCUAUUGUUGAAUAUGUUCUUUUUAAACAUUCAGCUGAGGUAACUCUUAAUAUUGUAUAACUAGAAAUACUCAGCUCCUGAAAUUUUGUCGUAGAAGAUUAGUGUUAGCAAUUUGCAAACUACUGAUGACUUGAACACAACAGCCUCAGAUCAGUAAUAAAUGCAGCAUUUUGCAACUAUUGACAAGGAUGCAGAUUAGCUUGUCUGCACUGAGUCUGCAGAGUAAGAAAAAAAGAUCAAGGACUGAAAGCCAGAGAAACAGCAUCUAAGAGAUGAGCCAGAGAAGAGGAGCCCAAGGUGGGAUAUGAGGGGGAGUGGUCAGAAAGCUAGAAGAAAAACCUGGAGGCUGUGGGACACAAUCUCCUUGAAAAAAUCUGAAGAGCAAGCAAAGUCAGCAUUGCCAGAUGCUUGAAAGUGGAUCUGAAUGAUGCAGUGUCGCAAUCCCAUUUUAUAAAUGAGGCAACCAAAACUCGAACAGGACCAUAUUGCGACUGAAACAAGGCAUAACAGGUCUUUGACUGGCUAUCCUGUGGAUGUGGACUCAGGCUAGCCUGCGCAAAGUGAAAGACAGGCAAUUAGAUUGAAAAAUACCUGUGAUUCAAAGAAGUCACAAGUCACAGAGACAAACUUUUCCCAGUGUGUUCGAGUCAGAGAACCUUUGCAAAGACCAACAGGCUAAAAGAGAAAAUACAAUGUCAUGACACAGCUAGAAUAUGUUUCCAAGCCUCCCCAACACGUGUGACUGUGUAUAAUUGAGUUCUAACCACAGGAAGCUUGAUGCAGAUGAGCAGGUAACCAUGGAAGUCGUGAGCUGAGGCUGCAGAGUCUAGAGCCAGAGUGUGGAAUAAACUUGGGUCUCAAAUCACCCCUGGAGCAAAGCACCCAUCUAAUCAGGAACUUCUACUUUCAACUUUACAUGCGUGAGAAAUGAACUUCUAUCAUGUUAGAGAAAUCCUUACACGGCGCCCUUGAGAGCUUUCAUACUGCAAGUCAUCCAUUUUCCUCCCCUCAAACCUGGCAUCGGAGUUUAUUGAAACAAAGCAAAAUAAAACAAAUAGACAAAGCUCUACCUCCAUCACUUCUGCAGUCUACAUUAACCCCACGUCCAGAAUAUUCACACCUCAGGUCUUUUUCUCACAAUUGAAACACUGGUUCAGAGCCUAACGGAAGGUCUUGGAGGUAAAAACACAACUUGGGGCAACUUUUCCAUUCUGUUCUGCAUGACCCCAAUGGGACUUCUCAGAAACCCCUCUCAUGAAUUAAACUUUGUUCUGUCUAGAGCAUUAGAAUAAGCUUAUGGGCACCUGCCAGGAGAUUAUAAAGUGGGCCAUUUAAAAGAUGACAGAUAUUGAGCACCCUUGACCCUGUAGAAAGAGUGUACCUACUUGCUUUCCCUAGGGCCCUUAAUGGUUUAUAAAA